AUACGGAGGGGGUUAGCGUUGUUCGGAAUUACUGGGCGUAAAGCGUACGUAGGCGGACUGGAAAGUUGGGGGUGAAAUCCCGGGGCUCAACCCCGGAACUGCCUCCAAAACUUCUAAUCUAGAGAUCGAGAGAGGUGAGUGGAAUUCCAAGUGUAGAGGUGAAAUUCGUAGAUAUUUGGAGGAACACCAGUGGCGAAGGCGGCUCACUGGCUCGAUACUGACGCUGAGGUACGAAAGCGUGGGGAGCAAACAGGAUUAGAAACCCCAGUAGUCC
RNAcentral lists this ribosomal RNA (274 nucleotides) under uncultured bacterium. RNAcentral's name for it is "partial 16S ribosomal RNA". It matches the Rfam family "Bacterial small subunit ribosomal RNA", at positions 523 to 796 of the family's 1533-position model. The record is from RNAcentral.